RNAcentral lists this transfer RNA (76 nucleotides) under Lactobacillus phage PLE3. RNAcentral describes it as "tRNA-Ile". It matches the Rfam family "tRNA". From Rfam's summary of the family: Transfer RNA (tRNA) molecules are approximately 80 nucleotides in length. Their secondary structure includes four short double-helical elements and three loops (D, anti-codon, and T loops). The record is from RNAcentral. Lineage: Duplodnaviria; Heunggongvirae; Uroviricota; Caudoviricetes.
GUAGAUGUAGCUCAAUCGGUAGAGCGCGCAACUUAUAAUUGCGUGGGUGCAGGUUCAAGCCCUGCCGUCUACACUC